RNAcentral lists this long non-coding RNA (9100 nucleotides) under Phaseolus vulgaris (common bean). RNAcentral describes it as "long non-coding RNA (PVUL_LNC003657)". The record is from RNAcentral. Lineage: Eukaryota; Viridiplantae; Streptophyta; Magnoliopsida; Fabales; Fabaceae.
UGCACCCCCACAAGGUUGCACAAAGACAAAACUGUCCCUAUAAAAAACUGUAUAUUUAUUUUUUUUAGUAUCCCAGAUUAUGAAAUUCGGUAAAUUUUUGUAUUGGCGCUUCCGGUAAAAUUUCAGAUUGGCGCAUCCGAUAAUCUUUCAGAUUGGUGCUUCCGGUAGUACAUGAAUGACAGUGUUAAUUCAAAGUAAAAAAAUGUAAAACAUCCAUAAUUGAAAAAACCAUUCUGGAUCUGCCAAUCCAUAAUUCAAAAUAUGCAUUCUGGAUUCAGAAAUCAAUAAGUGAAAAAAAUCAUUCUGGAUCCACCAAUCCAUAAUAGAAAUUAGGCUUCCGGAUUCAGUAAUCCGAAAAUCAACAAUUUAUGCAAACUUUGCUUCUGGAACACCCCCUCAUCCGGAAAGCAACAUGAUUCACUUAAUCCGUAGCACACUCCCAAAUCCCAAAUUCAAAUAACAGGUGAAGGUUAGUUUUGAAAUUUACAAAAUUGUGGGGUGUAGAAAGAAAAAUGUAGGGGUGCAGGAAGAAACUUCCCUUAUGUGUUAGAGGCAAGCCUUGUCUAUAGAAGGCCCAAGUUGAAAACACAGAAGGGUGUUUCUUGCUAUAUUGCUAUUGGCACCCCUUUAUUACUAUUUAAAAUCUCCAUCUCUUUGAUUUUAUUUGUUUGAUAAAAAUAUUUACAGAAAGAAGUUUUUACUGUGUUGUUUUUUUUUAAGAAAAUUUAAUAUAACAUAAAUAAGUUUUCUUCUGUAUUAUUUUUUCAAAAAAAAUAACACAAUGGCCAGUGUUAACAUAAUGAAAAUAAGUUUCCGUUGUGUUAUGUUUUUUUUAAAAAAAAAAUUAACUCAAUGGUUCUGUUGUGCUAAACCAAUGCUUUUUCUGAAAGAGAAUUGAAAAAAUUAACACAAAAUUUUGUUGCUAUAAUGGUAUGUUUAACAAAAGGAAUAGAUAUCGAAAACUUGCUUCUAUGGGAUUGAUUUUUUCAAAAGAAAUUUAACAUGUUGAAAAAAAAUUUCUUGUUAUGUUUUUUUAAAUACCAUUCCACUAAGAGUUACACUAUUACUAAUGAAUAUAAGAUAAAUUAAUAUAAUGUACUAUUUAUAUUAUCUUUUUAUAAAUCUUUCAAAAAAAAAAAUAUCUCUUCACAAUAAUCAUAUCAUACUCAAAGAAAAUGAAAAUAAAUAAAACAUAAACAUAAAAUCAUUUUCUAUCUCGUCAUUUUAUCUAUGCUCAGAUUAUUUUUUCGCAAUAUCAUUUUUUUCCUAUUUAACACAUGAUCAUCAUAGUUGAUAAACAAUAUACAAACGCACAAAACAAAGUAAGCUAAUAUUUUUCUUUAAAUCUCACAUACAUGCAUAUAUUGAAACCAUAUAAAUAUAUUUAUACAUAUAUAAUUUAUUCACAUCUCAUCCAUAUACUUUCAUGGAUACAUAAUCAAUUCAUUCAUUAAAUAUAUAUCAUAAUCAAAUAUUUAACUCUCAGUCCAUUGAUUACCUUUCAUGUCAUAAGUUUCUGAAAUCAACAUUACAAACACUUGAAUCUACUAUUAGAAGACAACUUGUUGAAUUAGACUCAUAUAUAUGCACAAGUGAUAUUAACUUCACUAAGUGAUAUCAUUCAUCCUAUUAUUAUAAUAUUCAAGCAUAAUAUGUUGUUAAAGUACAACAAUAUAGUGUAAUAUACAUAUAUUUUAACAUUUAGAAACAUGUUUUUCAAACUUUAGAAAACAAUAUAUCGCUUGACUUUUACUUUGUUUGCCCAACAAAUUAAGCAUUAUAUUAUUAUUCACUUCUCACUCAACCAAAAGUGUCAACUUGCCCAACAAAUUUUGGUUGCCCAACGAAAACUUUGCUUUCUCAACAAUCAAAGUAUUCACUCAAACUAUACAAUUUUGUAUCUCAAUCACUUUCAACUCUUUAAUAUCUCAAGCAUACCAUACAUAUUUAGCUAAUUUUUUUCUACAAGAAACAUUUAAUCAUUUUAUAUAACAUUCAUUUCCAAAUUCAAAUAAUUAAAAUAUAUUAAAACAACACAAAAUACACGUGUAAAAAUCAAAAUAUUAUAACCACGUCACUUUCACAUGUAGAUCAUUUACCCCCAAGUUUCCCUACAUGUCAAGACUUGUUUAUUGAGUCUUAAACUUCUAACCUUUUUAUCCUUAUAGGAAAGAUAAAACUUAUAAAAAAAAAACUCUAUUCAACACUUUUAAAUACACCUACACUUCUAGAUUGACAGAAAUCUACCGUUUGUUCCAUAAACAACACUUGCACAACACAAAAACCCUAAACAUGCAAAUUUUUCCAAAAAUCAACUCAAUAAACGGGCAAAAAGAAAUUUACUCAAAAAUAAUUUAUGAUCGGAGAUAAAUGUGUUACUCUUCAUCAAGAUUUCUAUGGUGAACUCUGAUCUAAGAAAAAAUAAACAAAUCUUUCAAAAUUCCAAAAAAAAAAAAGAAAGAAGAAAAAUGUUUUAAAUAGAUAAUGAUUUUUGUGAAAUAAAGUUUGAAUAAUAAUUUAUUUUUUUUUAUAAAUUUUUUUAGCUGAAAUAAUAAAGUAUUCUUAUUUCAUCUUCAUUAAACCACUCCUCCUCUUAAACCCAUUAACUAGUCAUCACAUUUUUAUUUCAAUAAAGUAAUACAAAGAAAAAAUGUUUCAUUUUUUUUCAAAAAGAUAAGUUACUUAUUCAAUAAAAACAUGUUUACGUCGUUAGUGUUUUUAACUAAAUGCCAAAAGUUUGACUUUUCACUUUGAUUGGGAGUUUGAAUAGUAACUUGGGGUUGCCAAUGGCAGGGGUUGUUUCUUAGGUGCAGUGCCUUGCUCUGGAGUGGGCUUUCGAUCUGGGCUGCAGGGCCUUAUUUUUGGUCUGCAAACACUUCCAAAAGAAAAAAAAACUCAAUAACAAAUUAACAAUUUGAACCGAAAGAAAAGUCAACAAAAAAUAAUUACUCUAAAUUGAGUUUGUCUUAUUUUAAGUAGGCAAUUGCUUUCUGCACCCGAUCAAUUGUGACUGGCACCCGACAUAUUUUUUAAAAUCCUACUAUGUCUUUGUCUUCUUCACUUUUGAAAACAUUGAAUGGUGAGGAAGAGGAAGUUCAUGGAUGUUUGAAGCUUUGCUUUGAGCUGCAAAAGAGGAGGUUGUGCUUCGUUCAUUGUUGCUAAGUUGAGUGUAAGCUUCGUUUGCCAAGUUAAUGAGGUAAGUAAUCCAUUUUCGUUCGUUUCUGGUUUUUGUUCGAGGUCAGCUGGUCCCGAAUAUCAGAAUCCGGAAUUCUGUUUUUUUGCUUAUGGAUAUUAAUAUCUGGAAGUCAAAAUUUUCAAUACGGAUAUUAAUAUCCGGAACUGUGGAUCGUUGCUUCUAGACGCUGAUAUCCGUAGUUCAUCAUUGCCUUACGGAUGUACAUAUCUGGAACUAGUUUAUGCAAUCCGGAUAUAUAUAUCCGGAAGCUAACUGUUGAUAUUUUUUUGGUUAUGGAUUUAUUUAUCCGGAAGCUAAGUGUUCAUUUUUUUCAACAGCCGAAUGGAUACAACAGAGUCAUACAUGGGAGUUUUAGGGGAGAUUGAUAGGUGGGAUGGAUUAGAUGAUGUUGAUCUGGAGUAGUCAAUAAGUUAUAACGCAUUAGAUAAUGAACAAAGGGCACAUGAAUGUAAUGAGGCCAAAUGAGGUAUGGUCAAUGUUGGGUUGUGAAUGUUUUUUUUAUGAAUUAUUUUUAAAUUUGACAUAUGUUAUUGUAGGUAUUUCGUGAUCGAGAUGAGCUGUUAGAGUGGGCGAGAAGUGUUGGCUAUAAUUAUGGGUUUGUUAUUGUUAUAUUAAGGUCAGAUACAUGGACGAGCCAACGAGGAAGGAUGACAUAUGUAUUGUUAGGUUAUGAGAGAGGAGGUAAAUACAAACGGUAUAAAAAAGAAGUAGAUGUCAGUCGAACUGGAAGUAGGAAGUGUGAGUGUCCUUUCAGAUUGCGAGGCAAACCAGUCAAAGGUGGUCAAGGGUGGAUGGUUGAAUUAAUUUGUGGUUCUCACAAUCAUGACUUGGCAGAGACAAUGGUGGGUCAUCCAUAUGCUGGAAGGUUAAGUAUAGAGGAAAAGGUUAUGGUUGAGGAUAUGACUAAAACUUCUGUGAAGCCAAGAAAUAUUUUACUAACCAUGAAAGAGAGAAAUGAGAAGAAUGUGACAACAAUUAAGCAGGUUUAUAAUGCAAUCACUGUUCACCGAAGAUCACAACGAGGUCACAGAACAGAAAUGCAACAACUGAUGUUGUUACUAUAGCGAGACAGGUACGUGCAUUGGUGUAGGUGUGACGAGGUCUCUAAUAUUGUGCAAGAUAUAUUUUGGACACACCCAGAUUCAGUAAAAUUGGUGAACUCAUUUAAUAUUGUCAUAUUAAUAGAUAGUACGUACAAGACGAACAAGUAUAGGAUGCCGUUACUUGAGGUUGUUGGGAUUACGUCUACAUGUUUGAUUUUCUCCGUUGCAUUUUGUUUACUAGCAGCAGAAAAGGAAAAUAAUUUUUUUUGGGCCCUUGACAGACUUAAAGGGUUGUUUUUAAGAGUUGAUUCAUGCCCUAGGGUGGUGGUAUGUGAUAGAGAUGUUGCCUUAAUGAAUGCAAUUAGAAUGGUGUUUCCUGAAGCUUAUAAUUUGCUCUGUCAGUUUCACAUUGAUAAAAAUGUGAAAGCAAAAUGUAAAAUGUUGGUGCAUCCAAGAGAGGCAUGGGAUCAAGCAAUGGAAGUGUGGGGAUUUGUUGUGGAUUGUGAUACAAAAAUUUAUUUUUCAUUACUUACCAAACCAUUCCAUAACUGUUUGGCUACAUGAUGUUCAUAAUUAACAAGUAAGGACUUAUCCAAUGGUCCUCCUGGAUAGCCUUCAUCAUCAACUUCAACUUCUUCUUGUUCAAUAUAAUCUUCAAACUGUUCAUUUGGAAUUGAAGUACUAGGCCCACCCCGUUUUCUUCUAACCGAUGCAGUUGGACACACACGAUCCAAAUUAGAACUUCCUCCACCUCUAGUCUGCACCAUCUUACAUUUCAUAAAAGUAACAUUCAAUCCAAUAUAUAUAAAAAAAUUAUAACACAUAUAGUCUAAAACAGUUGUGAAAAAUUUCACACUAAUACGGAUAUUAAUAUCCGUAGAACAACAACAACAUUCCGGAUAAAAAUAUCCACAAGUCAAAUGUAUCUUAUGGAUAAAAAUAUCCGGAACCCAUUAUUGAAUUACGAACAAAAAUAUCCGGAAUUUAUUAUUGAACUACGGACAAAAAUAUCCGCAAGCCACUAUUCAAGUGCGGACAAAAAUAUCUGGAAGCCAAUAUUCAAGUGCAGAUAAAAUAAUCCAGAAGCAACUGGUGAAGUGCGGAUAUAAAUAUCCAGAAGCCAAUAUUGAUCUGCGGAUAAAAUUAUCCAGAAGUCACUAUUCUAUGGAUAAAAAACAGCGAUGAAGGGUACCUUGACUUCUUCGACGAUGAAGCUCACUCACGGUGAAGCAAACGAACACUACGAAGGUGGCUGACGGUGUUGAACGGUGGCUGACGGUGUCUCCCUGCAACUUCACGGUAACGACCCUAUUUGUUGGGUGCUUACAUUGGGUGCAGAUCACAAUUCAUGUGUUUCUUAAUUUCAUUAAGGGUAAUAUGAUCUUUUCAUAAAUCCGAUUAGGUGCCAGUCAAAAAGCAUCGGGUGCAGGAAGAAUCUGCCUUUUAAGUAUAUCAUAAUUUUGGCUCACUGAACCAAUAAAUAAACUCAUGGGUUUGAACUUUCCAUGUCUUGCAUGCACUAAAGUAUGCUUGUUAAAUUUUUUUUUAGAAAAAAAAAAUUUUAUACAACCGUAUUUAAAGGAUAAUCUUUUUUUCGAUGGUUCAUAACUGUGAAUAAGGUCAUUUGGUAUUAUUUAUUUUGCUAUUUUUAUUUAAUUUCUUUUAAUAUUUAUAGACGGUCUAGAUUAUCUUACAAAAUUUAUAUCCUCUAUUUGCGACUUAUAUACUCACUUAAAAUUUAAAAUUUAUUGUACAACUCAAAUUUGAAAAGUGUAAAACAGUGAAAGAAAAUGGAGCAAAUAAAUCAACAAAAUUGGAUUGGGAUGAAAGAAUUUUUGUAUGUUAAAUGACUUCGGAGAAGACAACAAGAUUGGAUUGAGACUUGAACAAUUUAUAUAUUUAUGUUAACUAUUUUUUUUUAUGUUUUGUUUAUUUUUGUUUAUUAUGUUUAGUUUUUGAUGUUUAUUUCUUUUAUAUUCACACUUUUAUAUUGAUAUAUUAAUAUACAUUCUAUUUUUACUUUGUAAUUUAUACUAUAUAUGCUAAUUAAAUUUAGAAACAUCACUUUCUCACCUUGUAUAUAUAAAAGUUCAGUUAAACUAGUUAUCUUUCUUUAUAUAAAUUAAAAAUUAAUAUAUUUUUAGCAAAUAUCUCAAAUAUGUAAUUUAAAAAUAAUUAGUUUUUAAAUUUAAUAAAUAAGUAACAGUGGAGAGUUGGGUUAAAAAACUAGUAAAUUAGCAAUUUGAACCGAAAGAAAAGGCAACAAAAAAUAGUUACUCUAAAUUUUGGCUCUCUAAACCAAUAAAUAAGCUCAUGGGUUUGAACUUUGCAUGUCUUGCAUGCACUAAGUAUACUUGUUAAACUUUUUUUUAGAAAAAAAAUGUUUUUUAAUAAAAUAAUCACUUAUCAUGUUUGGAUAAACUUAUUUAAAAAAAAAACAGUUUUCUGUUUUUUUCAGAAAAAGUUAUUUCUCAUAAAAAAAUGUUUUUUUAAUAAAUAAUCACUUAAAAUGUUUGGAUAAAUUUAUUUAAAAAAGAUCAGAAACAGUUCUGUUUAUUUUUGAAAUAGUUAUUUCUCAUUAAAAAUAUAUACGGUAGAAGAGAACCUUUUAGUUAAAAACUAUAUUUUUUUACCCUAAACAAACAAAUAUCAAUAUUUACUAAGAAUCACUUAAAAAAAGUUACUUUUUUAACAAUAUUUUUUUUAACAAAAAUCAACCUGAUUCUGCUUCAAGUAUCCACCAUGAUUUUGCUUCCUAAUAUCACCGAUUUAUGGGUUGAAGGAUGAGACUGAAUUAAUAAUUACACAUGAAAAAUCAUUUCUCAUGUCAUGAUUAGCUUACAUCAGAUUCUUGAGAGUAUACUAGCUGAAACAUGUCUCUGCAACUAUUUAUUGGCAAGAAACUGUAGUAUUUAUUGUGAAUUUAACUUAUCGUUAAGUUAAUGAUUUUUACCAUAUAAUUUCCUUGUAUAAUUUAUUUUUUUUGCUUUUGUUGUGAUUAUUAUAUUUUUGUCAAAUGAUGUCUGUAUCAGAACUAACUUAAGAUAUACAUGACUGAUCUACAACCUUUGAAUACCAACAUUGACUGAUAUGUUUCUAUGAUUUAGUCCAAAAUAUUAGAAAAAUUAUACAGUGUUCCUUCAAAAGUCCCAGUGAACAAUGGAUUAUCUUGGCAUUCAAGCAGAGAACCUCAUUGGCUAUGCCUCAUUUGAAAUAACUCAAGCACUAUAAAUUAUAAGUUUGAAAUUAAGAAUUUGUUUCUAGUUAGUGUUUUGUGGAAUGAUUUUAUUUAAUUAGACAAAGAAAAAUUGGAAGAAAAUCAUUUUUGUAAAGUUCAGAUUGAGGGCAGGCUCUACAAAUGAUGAGUAAGUUGAGUUCCAAGGAACAAAGCAAGAUGCCUUAAAAUAUCUCAGUGAUAUGUAUUGUACAUUAAGAUUGGGGGAAAACAUGAAGAUGAGUGAUUUAGAGAGUUGGAGUUCUCUCAGCUGUUCCAGCAAUGACUGUGAGCAAGUUGUUGCCAAAUGGGUCACUGAGAUGCUUUGCAAGGUUCUCAACAGGACCUUCUCCAGUGACAUAGGCUUGGAUGAAGAAACCAAGCAUGGAAAACAUAGCAAGUCUACCAUUCUUGAUUUCCUUCACCUUUAGCAGUGCAGCUUGAUCUGGAUCGUUUGCAAGCCCCAAUGGAUCAAAUGGACCACCUGGAUGAAGUUUGUCUUCGAAAUUCUGCUCAAAAUAGGUCACAAUUUGGUGAAUCAAAUGAUUAAGCACUGUCUUUGGGAGACUGUUCAUGCUCCACAAACUUGAUUUUGAAAGUGUUGAUUGUGAUUGUGGAAAAAAGUUAUGUAGUUUGUUUCCUAUGAUCAAGGUUGUUAAAAGACAUUCAUGUAACUGUGAAAAUAUGUAGCUUGGUGUUGGGAUGAGAAUUUUAUACUAAACUUUACUUCAAACUUGCUUUAGAGAUGAAGUUUCUAAACAUAACUCUGCUUCAAACUCAAUUUCACAUAAAAUCAAUAUCAUUGAAAAUUAAGUUUGCAAACAUAUAUCCAAGCCCACACUUCAAAAAGUUUUGUUACAAUUUUAUGAACAUAGUGCUUAUGUGCAUUGCUAAUUCAAAUAGUUCGCAAAAAUAACAGUAAUAAGAUAGUUCAGUUGACUAAAUAGUAACCUUCUUGUUGUAAUAAUCCUUAUGUUACAAACAAAGAUUAAGAAAAAAUGCAAUGACAAAUACUGCAGUAAAUAUUCAGAUUGAGAAAUCUACAUACCAGGCCAUUAGUAAUUCUGUAGUACUCUGCACCUCCCACAAGAACUACCUCAGCAACGACAGCCAGAAUAAGAUUGAUGGGAAUGGGUUUCCCAAAGUAGUUCAACGUACCCCCAUCAAGAAGCAGAGCUCCAGUCUGCACCAAUUCCAUAAAGAAUAUUGAUUUUGGCUUAGUGUAAGCAAUAUAUGCAAUCACAAAAAGAUUGGUAAUAGCUAAAUUGAAAGGUAGAGAAUAACUCUAGUGAAAAAAGAGAGUAAAUUAUUAGCACAAUUGUCAGGAUUUAAAGGCAUGGUUAAAAAUGAGCACUAAAAUUGAAUGAGAUGGGUAAAACACAAGGGAAAAGAACAUUUUUUUUCAAGUCUAUGUUAAAUUUACACCAGAAUUGUCAUUUACACAAAAUGGAAUUAAACUUUUGAACUCGAGUUUCAAAAUUUGGUUUGAACAGGAGUCUACUAGAGUUAUUUUGCACAAAGAAGAGAAACUGAUAGAGUCAUGCAAUAGUACUUGUAAGGUCUAUUAAAUUCCAUUUGUUUUGUCAUAAAAAACAAUGUAUUAUUGAACUUGAAAUAGUGACAGUUGCUAUAGAGCUUGCAAACCUU